AGAGAGGGGGUUCCAAGAAGAAAAGGAAACUCUUAGGACACUAAAUCAUAUUUCCCAGGAAAACAAACCUAAGAAUUGGAGGAUGGAGAAGUGGGCACAGACAUCUCUAGUGAUCUUUUGGCUUCAACUGAGCUGUGAGUAGAAUUUCUACAAAUGUCAGGGACUACCAGAAAAACCAGAGGAUUGUGGCUCAGAAAUGAAGAGGGAAAAUGACCUUCAUUCAGACUUUCUGGGAGCCCUGUGUAGUUCCAAUGGAGAGUAGUUAUAAACACUUUGCACACUUGACCUGGUGUCACUCUCUGUGGCUUACGUUUAUGUAUUACUUGUUCAUUCCUUUUACUUGUUCAUUUCUUUUCUACACAGGGGUGAGCAGUGAGGACAAGGUGAUACAGAGUCCCCCUUCUCUGGUUGUCCAUGAGGGAGACAGUGCAACUCUCAACUGCAGCUAUGAAAUGGCCAACUUUCAAAGCCUACACUGGUACAAGCAGGAAGAAAAAGCUCCCACUUUUCUGUUUAUACUAGUUUCAAGUGGGGCAGAGAAGAAGUUGGGAAGAUUAAGCGGCUCCUUAAAUAAGAAACUUAGCACCCUGCACAUCACAGCCACCCAGCCUGGAGACGCAGCCACCUACCUCUGUGCUGUAGAGGCAC
This 648-nucleotide long non-coding RNA is filed under the name Marmota monax (woodchuck). The record is from RNAcentral. Lineage: Eukaryota; Metazoa; Chordata; Mammalia; Rodentia; Sciuridae.